GAGGUGACCAUGCGGCGAAGCCUGACGCAGCAACGCCGCGUGGAGGAUGAAUGCUCUCGGGUUGUAAACUCCUUUCACCCAUAAAGAAAUUGACGGUACCUGCAGAAGAAGCACCGGCCAACUACGUGCCAGCAGCCGCGGUAAUACGUAGGGUGCAAGCGUUGUCCGGAUUCAUUGGGCGUAAAGAGCUCGUAGGCGGCUUGGCAAGUCAGAUGUGAAACCCUCAGGCUCAACCUGGGGAUGCCAUCUGAUACUGCUAUGGCUAGAGUAUGGUAGGGGACUACGGAAUUCCUGGUGUAGCGGUGAAAUGCGCAGAUAUCAGGAGGAACACCGGUGGCGAAGGCGGUAGUCUGGGCCAUUACUGACGCUGAGGAGCGAAAGCGUGGGGAGCGAACAGGAUUAGAUACCCUGGUAGUCCACGCCGUAAACGUUGGGCACUAGGUGUGGGGUCUAUUUCGACGGACUCCGUGCCGUAGCUAACGCAUUAAGUGCCCCGCCUGGGGAGUACGGCCGCAAGGC
This 519-nucleotide ribosomal RNA is filed under the name uncultured bacterium. RNAcentral's name for it is "bacterial SSU rRNA". It matches the Rfam family "Bacterial small subunit ribosomal RNA", at positions 359 to 894 of the family's 1533-position model. The record is from RNAcentral.